CUCGUAGGCGGCUAACUAAGUCGGACGUGAAAUCCCUCGGCUUAACCGGGGAACUGCGUCCGAUACUGGAUGGCUUGAGUUCGGGAGAGGGAUGCGGAAUUCCAGGUGUAGCGGUGAAAUGCGUAGAUAUCUGGAGGAACACCGGUGGCGAAGGCGGCAUCCUGGACCGACACUGACGCUGAGGAGCGAAAGCCAGGGGAGCAAACG
This 207-nucleotide ribosomal RNA is filed under the name uncultured bacterium. RNAcentral describes it as "partial 16S ribosomal RNA". It matches the Rfam family "Bacterial small subunit ribosomal RNA", at positions 568 to 774 of the family's 1533-position model. The record is from RNAcentral.